GCUUUGGCGUUUGGGAAUAAUUAUUUAACAGCAGCUUGUUUGCACUUUGGAACACCUCGUGCUUCCAGAGCCGGCCCAUCCUGCUGGGGAGGGGAGAGGUCCCAGCGCUGCUGUCUGGCAGACCUUGGUUUCGGUGGGCACCAGAAGCGAGGCAGAUUGCUUGCUGCUGCAACUUCACGCGUGAGCUCCAGGCUCCCCUGGUUGGAAGGUGCCAGGGAGUGAGGCGGUUUUAAGAUUCCUUCAACAUCAGGAUUCCCGAUCAUCUCAUCAACCGACUUGUUAAGAAAACUGAGGCCCAGGGAAGUGGCUCACAAUUGUGUAGAAUUGUGAGGUGUCUUGACUGCUGGGCCAGGACUGAAGGACGUACGCCCUCUCCCGGAAUCGUCUCAGCUACAGAGAACCACCUUGCCCAAGGUCACCACCCUCUUGCCAAGGGGGUCACUUGGAUCUAAUGAUUGGUUAAUGCUGGGGGGAGGGGGUGUGCACAGGGUGUGGCUUCCAAGGGGAAUGUGGAUGCUGGAAUGAGGGAGGCAGCCACCUAGGCCGGUCAAGUCAGAGGCCCAGCAAGGAGAAAGCGAGCCAAGGCAAACGCCGACAGAAGAGAACGAUAAAUCCGCGGCGCACUCGGCAGAACGUACACCGCACCGCAUAAUUUAGCGGGGCAAUGCCGCCGGGAGUCCACGCCAAGUUAAUGGAAUAUUUCCUGUAAAUAUUAUUUUCCCUUCCUGUCUCAUCAUCUCAUUUCAUUCAAAAAUCUUUACUAAUCCGGGGGAGUGAAAGUAAUGCAUCAAUUUCCAGAGCCAAUGCCCCUGCUUCCGAAAUACCCUUAGGAAUCACUGGAAGCCACCGCGGCUGCUUAGGGACAGGGGGGCAGGCCGUUUACUCUGGUUCCUUCUCCUAAUGCCUCAGAGGGGACCCCAUAGUGCUCCUAAUUGUGCAUCUAAGUGUACAUAAAAGCCCCCCUAAUUGCACAUCAAAUAAAUAAGUAAAUGCUGUCUGCUGAAUAUGUAACAAGGACUGAUGUUGCUAUUUCUUCCCAGGGGGGAGAUUUCAUUAAAUCUGGGCUGCAUUUCUAAGUGAUGAUUUACAGAUAUUGAAUAUUCUUUACAAGGGAGGCUUUUUUGGAGUUAUGUGCUUCACAAUAUUUGCUCUAAUGCUUAAAGCCUCAGAUACAGCCUGCUGGAGGUCUCUUUAUUCUAACUCUUAGUGUCCUUUUGGAAAGUCUUUUCUGCUUUAAUGUGUAAUGGCUUCCGAUGAUCAGAUGGCUGGUUUGUCUGCAGGUCUGGGGACUGUGCAACCCCCUGGUCUCCCAAUGCCUCAGUUACUGACGCUGCAAACAAGGCAGAUUGUCCCAGAGAUUAGAGCU
This 1366-nucleotide long non-coding RNA is filed under the name Homo sapiens (human). RNAcentral's name for it is "HSALNT0356520". Lineage: Eukaryota; Metazoa; Chordata; Mammalia; Primates; Hominidae. The record is from RNAcentral.